UACGGCCCACCAGAUGGUGAGUGGUUGC
This 28-nucleotide small RNA is filed under the name Bombyx mori (domestic silkworm). RNAcentral describes it as "ovarian small RNA-21132". The record is from RNAcentral. Lineage: Eukaryota; Metazoa; Arthropoda; Insecta; Lepidoptera; Bombycidae.